GAUGAACGCUGGCGGCGUGCCUAAUACAUGCAAGUCGAGCGAACGGACGAGAAGCUUGCUUCUCUGAUGUUAGCGGCGGACGGGUGAGUAACACGUGGAUAACCUACCUAUAAGACUGGGAUAACUUCGGGAAACCGGAGCUAAUACCGGAUAAUAUUUUGAACCGCAUGGUUCAAAAGUGAAAGACGGUCUUGCUGUCACUUAUAGAUGGGUCCGCGCUGCAUUAGCUAGUUGGUAAGGUAACGGCUUACCAAGGCAACGAUGCAUAGCCGACCUGAGAGGGUGAUCGGCCACACUGGAACUGAGACACGGUCCAGACUCCUACGGGAGGCAGCAGUAAGGAAUCUUCCGCAAUGGGCGAAAGCCUGACGGAGCAACGCCGCGUGAGUGAUGAAGGUCUUCGGAUCGUAAAACUCUGUUAUUAGGGAAGAACAUAUGUGUAAGUAACUGUGCACAUCUUGACGGUACCUAAUCAGAAAGCCACGGCUAACUACGUG
RNAcentral lists this ribosomal RNA (497 nucleotides) under uncultured bacterium. RNAcentral's name for it is "partial 16S ribosomal RNA". It matches the Rfam family "Bacterial small subunit ribosomal RNA", at positions 28 to 507 of the family's 1533-position model. The record is from RNAcentral.